This 782-nucleotide long non-coding RNA is filed under the name Elaeis guineensis (African oil palm). RNAcentral describes it as "long non-coding RNA (EGUI_LNC066075)". Lineage: Eukaryota; Viridiplantae; Streptophyta; Magnoliopsida; Arecales; Arecaceae. The record is from RNAcentral.
UGACCAGACUCCAUCCUAGUUUCUACAGUGGUCGAUCACCUUUCGAAUUUCAGCCAAACUUCUACCACAAGCAAUCUACUCCGAACUUCUACCAUAAGCAGUCCACUCCGAACUUCUACUAUAAGUGAAUUCCAUCCGAGCUCCUACUGUUAAUGAAUUCCUUUCAAACUUUAUUACAGGUGGAUUUCAGUCGAGCUUCUUCGAUAAGCAGUCUUCAUCCGGACUUCUACAAGAAUUGGACUCCGUCUGAACUUCCAUAGCGGAUGGAUUUCAGAUGAACAUAUACAACGGACGGGCUCCAGCAGCAGGAUUUCUACAACAACCGACCGCCUCCAGUAUCUUCCAUACCUCUCCAGCCAUCAACCUUCAAUAGCAUCAGUCGGACUUCAACAACAUCAGCCGAACUUCCACAGGAUCCUCCAGACUCCUCCAACAAAUGAACUUCCAUAACGCCAUCCGAAGUCCACUGUCGGUCGACCCUCUGUCAGAUUCCUCAUGAAAUUAGAUUUUUCCAACAGAAAAUCUCUAUCCAAGCUUCUACAGCAGAUGACUUCCACCUGCAGCAUCAGCGCCCAAUCAGCGCCCAAGGCACUCGACAACAGUGGAUUCGUUAGCAACCUCGAAAACAUCCGAGCUUCUCUUAGAUUGCAGGGAUAGAGAGCCAUUCCGCUCCAUCAGACGUCCCAACCGAACUUCAGCCGUCAGACCCGAACUCUCUGGCAAGUCACGACAAUGGCCACUACCCCACUCCACUCUUUGUAACGGAUUCCACGUAGCCCCAC